Long non-coding RNA from Mauremys reevesii (Reeves's turtle), 733 nucleotides. RefSeq lists it as uncharacterized. NCBI's taxonomy places the organism in Eukaryota, Metazoa, Chordata, Testudines, Geoemydidae. The record is from RefSeq and is a predicted model, not a curated record. The transcript is spliced from 3 exons.
GCCACUGAAUGUUUAUGCGGUUCCCAUCCGGUGGAGCAGAUUCCUGGAUAAAUUCAGAAAUAAGCUGAGCAAGCUGCAGAUGAUCAGUUCUUCUGUCACCACCCAGUGUCACUGCAAUCAAUCAGCAUUACUAGAGGGACACAUGGGACAGUGAAGUCAUCUGUCUAAAUACCAGAGGAGAAAAGGCUGAGAGAAAAGAUGGCCAACCAUGGAGCUGUCACAUCAGAAGCAUUCCACCAAAACUGGAAAGCAGAUGCAAAAUCAUGGGGCAUGGCUCUUCUGUUGAACAACCCUGAGAGCAGACGUUAGACCCUUGCAUAAAGUUGCUGACUGCUGUUUACUGAAGAUUUGUACCAAAUGCAUCUCAUUAAAUCCAUUCCGGAUAUGGGGAGAUGGUAGGGGCCCUGUAGGCCAAAGAAGCUACACUCUGAGACAGAGAGUUCCUACAGGCAGAACCGCAGCAACAGUCAAUUUAUGGAGAAAGCUUUGGCUGGGAUUUCAGUUACACUAUUAAGAACAUAAGAACGACCAUACUGGGUCAGACCAAAGGUCCAUCCAGCCCAGUAUCCUGUCUUCCGACAGUGGCCAAUGCCGGGUAAUUCAGAGCGCCAACACGCUGAACAGUACAGUACAAGGAAGGGAGAGAGUACUUUUUAUGAUGUAGUCACUCUGUCUCUAUUUAAGGUAUGUCUACACAAGGAAGAAGGUGUGUUUUUUAAACAUGACAGAUAAC